RNAcentral lists this ribosomal RNA (576 nucleotides) under uncultured prokaryote. Its description in RNAcentral is "bacterial SSU rRNA". It matches the Rfam family "Bacterial small subunit ribosomal RNA", at positions 8 to 574 of the family's 1533-position model. The record is from RNAcentral.
AGAGUUUGANCCUGGCUCAGGAUGAACGCUAGCGACAGGCCUAACACAUGCAAGUCGAGGGGCAGCACAAGGUAGCAAUACUGAGGUGGCGACCGGCGCACGGGUGAGUAACGCGUAUGCAACCUGCCUGUAACAGGGGGAUAGCCUCUUGAAAGAGAGAUUAAUACCGCAUAAUACAGUUGAACGGCAUCGUUCGACUUUUAAACAUUUAUGGGUUACAGAUGGGCAUGCGUUUCAUUAGGUAGUUGGUGAGGUAAUGGCUCACCAAGCCGACGAUGAAUAGGGGUUCUGAGAGGAAGGUCCCCCACACUGGUACUGAGACACGGACCAGACUCCUACGGGAGGCAGCAGUGAGGAAUAUUGGNCAAUGGACGCAAGUCUGAACCAGCCAAGUCGCGUGAAGGAUGAAGGUAUUAUGUAUUGUAAACUUCUUUUGUCAGGGAAUAAUGACCGCUACGUGUAGCGGNAGAGNAAUGUACCUGACGAAUAAGCAUCGGCUAACUCCGUGCCAGCAGCCGCGGUAAUACGGAGGAUGCGAGCGNUUAUCCGGAUUUAUUGGGUUUAAAGGGUGCGUAG